UUGCUAGGGGUGCCAAUUUGGCUGAGAGGGAGUAAAAUCCUAACCCUUGUAACCUGAUAUGGAUAAUGCCAUCGGAGGGAAGCAAUAUUA
This 90-nucleotide non-coding RNA is filed under the name uncultured Clostridium sp. RNAcentral's name for it is "TPP riboswitch (THI element)". It matches the Rfam family "TPP riboswitch aptamer (THI element)", at positions 6 to 98 of the family's 105-position model. Rfam says of the family: Vitamin B(1) in its active form thiamin pyrophosphate (TPP) is an essential coenzyme that is synthesised by coupling of pyrimidine and thiazole moieties in bacteria. The previously detected thiamin-regulatory element, thi box was extended, resulting in a new, highly conserved RNA secondary structure, the THI element, which is widely distributed in eubacteria and also occurs in some archaea. Lineage: Bacteria; Bacillati; Bacillota; Clostridia; Eubacteriales; Clostridiaceae. The record is from RNAcentral.